Molecule: ribosomal RNA, 370 nt
Filed under: uncultured bacterium
Lineage: Bacteria
Description: bacterial SSU rRNA
Rfam family: Bacterial small subunit ribosomal RNA
Source: RNAcentral
UCAGCAGCCCGCGGUAAUACGGAGGGUGCAAGCGUUAAUCGGAAUUACUGGGCGUAAAGCGCACGCAGGCGGUCUGUCAAGUCGGAUGUGAAAUCCCCGGGCUCAACCUGGGAACUGCAUUCGAAACUGGCAGGCUGGAGUCUUGUAGAGGGGGGUAGAAUUCCAGGUGUAGCGGUGAAAUGCGUAGAGAUCUGGAGGAAUACCGGUGGCGAAGGCGGCCCCCUGGACAAAGACUGACGCUCAGGUGCGAAAGCGUGGGGAGCAAACAGGAUUAGAUACCCUGGUAGUCCACGCUGUAAACGAUGUCGACUUGGAGGUUGUUCCCUUGAGGAGUGGCUCCGGAGCUAACGCGUAAGUCGACCGCCUGGAU